GCCUACGGGAGGCAGCAGUGGGGAAUAUUGCACAAUGGGGGAAACCCUGAUGCAGCAACGCCGCGUGAGUGAUGACGGUCUUCGGAUUGUAAAACUCUGUCUUCAGGGACGAUAAUGACGGUACCUGAGGAGGAAGCCACGGCUAACUACGUGCCAGCAGCCGCGGUAAUGAGUAU
RNAcentral lists this ribosomal RNA (176 nucleotides) under Clostridium sp. C10S5. RNAcentral describes it as "partial 16S ribosomal RNA". It matches the Rfam family "Bacterial small subunit ribosomal RNA", at positions 337 to 530 of the family's 1533-position model. The record is from RNAcentral. Lineage: Bacteria; Bacillati; Bacillota; Clostridia; Eubacteriales; Clostridiaceae.